This 231-nucleotide unclassified non-coding RNA is filed under the name Hevea brasiliensis (rubber tree). Lineage: Eukaryota; Viridiplantae; Streptophyta; Magnoliopsida; Malpighiales; Euphorbiaceae. The record is from RNAcentral.
AUCAGGCAAUCAGCUUAAGCUUAUUGGAGUCUAAAUAGGGUUCAGUGCAUUGGGUGAGUCCAGAAAAUCUGUGAAAAACUCCAACAAAUAGCUGUCCUUUUUGAGAUAAUGAAUAAUGAGAAAUUUACCAGGCAAAAGCAUUGACAAAUGGAAAAAAUUUAUCAUUAUUUUAUUCAAGGCAUGGAAGCAAAGCAUCUUAAAUGUGAUGCAGCAUAAUGAUAGAGAAGAUCA